AAGUGACUGUGACUGAGUGGCGGACGGGUGACUAACGCGUGGGUAACCUGCCUCACACAGGGGGACAACAGCCGGAAACGGCUGCUAAUACCGCAUAAGCGCACAGUGCCGCAUGGCACGGUGUGAAAAGAUUCAUCGGUGUGAGAUGGACCCGCGUCUGAUUAGCCAGUUGGCAGGGUAACGGCCUACCAAAGCGACGAUCAGUAGCCGGCUUGAGAGAGUGACCGGCCACAUUGGGACUGAGACACGGCCCAGACUCCUACGGGAGGCAGCAGUGGGGAAUAUUGCACAAUGGGGGAAACCCUGAUGCAGCGACGCCGCGUGAGCGAAGAAGUAUUUCGGUAUGUAAAGCUCUAUCAGCAGGGAAGAUAAUGACGGUACCUGACUAAGAAGCUCCGGCUAAAUACGUGCCAGCAGCCGCGGUAAUACGUAUGGAGCAAGCGUUAUCCGGAUUUACUGGGUGUAAAGGGAGUGUAGACGGCAGGGCAAGUCUGAUGUGAAAACCCGGGGCUCAACCCCGGGACUGCAUUGGAAACUGUCCGGCUGGAGUGCAGGAGAGGUAAGUGGAAUUCCUAGUGUAGCGGUGAAAUGCGUAGAUAUUAGGAGGA
Molecule: ribosomal RNA, 608 nt
Filed under: uncultured Lachnospiraceae bacterium
Lineage: Bacteria; Bacillati; Bacillota; Clostridia; Lachnospirales; Lachnospiraceae
Description: bacterial SSU rRNA
Rfam family: Bacterial small subunit ribosomal RNA
Source: RNAcentral